CGCUGGCGGCGUGCUUAACACAUGCAAGUCGAACGAUGAAGCCGCUUCGGUGGUGGAUUAGUGGCGAACGGGUGAGUAACACGUGGGCAAUCUGCCCUUCACUCUGGGACAAGCCCUGGAAACGGGGUCUAAUACCGGAUACGACACAGGACCGCAUGGUCUCUGUGUGGAAAGCUCCGGCGGUGAAGGAUGAGCCCGCGGCCUAUCAGCUUGUUGGUGGGGUGAUGGCCUACCAAGGCGACGACGGGUAGCCGGCCUGAGAGGGCGACCGGCCACACUGGGACUGAGACACGGCCCAGACUCCUACGGGAGGCAGCAGUGGGGAAUAUUGCACAAUGGGCGAAAGCCUGAUGCAGCGACGCCGCGUGAGGGAUGACGGCCUUCGGGUUGUAAACCUCUUUCAGCAGGGAAGAAGCGAAAGUGACGGUACCUGCAGAAG
RNAcentral lists this ribosomal RNA (439 nucleotides) under Streptomyces niger. RNAcentral describes it as "bacterial SSU rRNA". It matches the Rfam family "Bacterial small subunit ribosomal RNA", at positions 34 to 487 of the family's 1533-position model. Lineage: Bacteria; Bacillati; Actinomycetota; Actinomycetes; Kitasatosporales; Streptomycetaceae. The record is from RNAcentral.